GGGGUGUGCUUAGAGCAGGGGAUAUUGAAAAAAUGGCUCAUCUGUUUACAGCACACCCAACAGGGAUCUGGGUUAUUGUGAUAAGGGGCACAAAACUUGGCAUUCCUAUGAACAAAUAGUCUGCAUGU
Catagonus wagneri (Chacoan peccary) is the source of this 128-nucleotide small nucleolar RNA. Ensembl annotates it as small nucleolar RNA, H/ACA box 11. Lineage: Eukaryota; Metazoa; Chordata; Mammalia; Artiodactyla; Tayassuidae. The record is from Ensembl.